AUACGUAGGGGGCGAGCGUUGUCCGGAAUGAUUGGGCGUAAAGGGCGCGUAGGCGGCCCGGUAAGUCUGGAGUGAAAGUCCUGCUUUUAAGGUGGGAAUUGCUUUGGAUACUGUCGGGCUUGAGUGCAGGAGAGGUAAGUGGAAUUCCCAGUGUAGCGGUGAAAUGCGUAGAGAUUGGGAGGAACACCAGUGGCGAAGGCGACUUACUGGACUGUAACUGACGCUGAGGCGCGAAAGUGUGGGGAGCAAACAGGAUUAGAUACCCUGGUAGUCCACACUGUAAACGAUGAAUGCUAGGUGUAGGGGGUAUCGACCCCUUCUGUGCCGCAGUUAACACAAUAAGCAUUCCGCCUGGGGAGUACGGCCGCAAGGUUGAAAAUCAAAUGAAUUGACGGGG
This 397-nucleotide ribosomal RNA is filed under the name uncultured bacterium. RNAcentral describes it as "partial 16S ribosomal RNA". It matches the Rfam family "Bacterial small subunit ribosomal RNA", at positions 523 to 918 of the family's 1533-position model. The record is from RNAcentral.